UCGCUUAAGUGCAAAAGGUCCAUUGCAUUCCAUUGGUAUCACGUGAUGCAAAAUGGCAGCUUUCUGAUGACUGUAUCACAAAACAGGCUUGUACUGCAGAAACUAUAAUGAUUUAUGACAAUCCUUGACAGUUACAUGAAUAUAAGAAGGAGAAAGAGAUAGUGCAUCUUAAACUUGAUCCUGUUCUUUACUUCAUCAGAUAAAUAGAUCUUCAUUAGUUUAAGAUUUUAAAAAUAACUGCAAUCAUCAUAGUUUGUAGUGAAGCAAUAAAAUUCUCAUUGGGUCUUUUCUGAUGCUUUAAAUUACUGCUAGAAGAGGUACUAGUGGCCACUUUGCAUCACGUGAUACCAAUGGAAUGCAAUUGAACUUUGCAAUUAUUAAUCAAAGGUCAACCCGCGUGUCAUACCUAGUCCAUAGGUAAUAGAGUAAAGGCGGAUUUACAAUAUUACGCUAGUCCUGACGUUACGUUGACGCUG
This is a long non-coding RNA of Amphimedon queenslandica, 476 nucleotides long. RefSeq lists it as uncharacterized. Lineage: Eukaryota; Metazoa; Porifera; Demospongiae; Haplosclerida; Niphatidae. The transcript is spliced from 2 exons. The record is from RefSeq and is a predicted model, not a curated record.